This 586-nucleotide ribosomal RNA is filed under the name uncultured fungus. RNAcentral's name for it is "eukaryotic LSU rRNA". It matches the Rfam family "Eukaryotic large subunit ribosomal RNA", at positions 48 to 656 of the family's 3401-position model. The record is from RNAcentral. Lineage: Eukaryota; Fungi.
UAGCGGAGGAAAAGAAACCAACAGGGAUUGCCCUAGUAACGGCGAGUGAAGCGGCAACAGCUCAAAUUUGAAAUCUGGCCGCAAGGUCCGAGUUGUAAUUUGUAGAGGAUGCUUUUGGCGAGGUGACUUCCGAGUUCCCUGGAACGGGACGCCAUAGAGGGUGAGAGCCCCGUACGGUAGUGACACCGAGCCUCUGUAAAGCUCCUUCGACGAGUCGAGUAGUUUGGGAAUGCUGCUCUAAAUGGGAGGUGUAAGUCUUCUAAAGCUAAAUACCGGCCAGAGACCGAUAGCGCACAAGUAGAGUGAUCGAAAGAUGAAAAGCACUUUGAAAAGAGAGUUAAAAAGUACGUGAAAUUGUUGAAAGGGAAGCAUUUAUGACCAGACUUGGGCUUGGUUGAACAUCCGGCGUUCUCGCCGGUGCACUCUGCCAGCCUAGGCCAGCAUCAGUUCACGCCGGGGGACAAAGGUAGCGGGAAUGUGACUCCCUCCGGGGAGUGUUAUAGCCCGUUGCGCAAUGCCCUGGGGUGGACUGAGGAACGCGCUUCGGCACGGAUGCUGGCGUAAUGGUCAUCAAUGACCCGUCUUG